RNAcentral lists this transfer RNA (75 nucleotides) under Microcaldota archaeon. Its description in RNAcentral is "tRNA-Arg". It matches the Rfam family "tRNA". Rfam says of the family: Transfer RNA (tRNA) molecules are approximately 80 nucleotides in length. Their secondary structure includes four short double-helical elements and three loops (D, anti-codon, and T loops). Lineage: Archaea; Nanobdellati; Microcaldota. The record is from RNAcentral.
GGGCUCGUGGUCUAACCUGGAUAUGACGAAAGGCUUCGAACCUUUAGGUUACGGGUUCAAAUCCCGUCGGGCCCG